Long non-coding RNA from Cotesia glomerata, 471 nucleotides. RefSeq lists it as uncharacterized. The transcript is spliced from 3 exons. Lineage: Eukaryota; Metazoa; Arthropoda; Insecta; Hymenoptera; Braconidae. The record is from RefSeq and is a predicted model, not a curated record.
UUUUAUGUAAAUGAUCGCUGGUGAUGAUACUGUACACACCAGUCGACGGCAUUAUUUUUUCAUAAUUUUAUUUUCUAGUAACUGUUUUAUAGAAUUGAUCAGUAUACAUAUUACUUGAAGAGAUUUACUUAAAUAUGAUUAUCAAAAAAAUGAUUCAAGGCAUAUUUAUUGCAAUCAUACCUCAACUCAUUGGAAUACAGGGUAUUCUCGAAAUCAAUAUAGAGGAUGCAUUGUGUCAAACUUUUAGUAAAGAAUAUUUCACCGAGCCAGAUGUUUAUAUAGAUGUUAACAACCAAGCGCCCGCUUUCAUUUACUGGGAGCAUCGAUGGGUGAAUAUGUCAUACAAACUGGAUUAGAUUUUGAGAUGGGCUUCUGUGGAAUGUUCGAUGAACCUGUCAUACUGGCUCCAAAUCUCAAAUUAUUUGGAUUUGUGGCGACCGAUUGUCCACCAUCUCCUGUAAGAUUUAUUAA